GGUGCGGCGGCGUGCUACUCUCCCACACCCUGUCGGGUGCAGUACCAUCGCCGUGCCAGGCCUUAGCUUCCGGGUUCGGAAUGGGACCGGGCGUCUCACCUGGGCCAUGGCCGCCG
RNAcentral lists this ribosomal RNA (116 nucleotides) under Bifidobacterium longum. The record is from RNAcentral. RNAcentral also lists the same sequence under 1 other name. Lineage: Bacteria; Bacillati; Actinomycetota; Actinomycetes; Bifidobacteriales; Bifidobacteriaceae.